Molecule: small RNA, 24 nt
Filed under: Arabidopsis thaliana (thale cress)
Lineage: Eukaryota; Viridiplantae; Streptophyta; Magnoliopsida; Brassicales; Brassicaceae
Description: ATSL123690
Source: RNAcentral
UGUUGUUGUUAAAAGGGAUACCGU